AAUUACACUCUCGCGGUACAUUGACGUUAUCAACCUGUCAGCGCAGCAAGAAGUCGAACACACGUAUUUGCGGGCGCGCGCCUCCGUCCUCGUGAGUUCAAAGUGGAUUUUAACCGUUUACCUCAGACGACAGUUUUCAUUUCUAUGGCAAAUUCUGAGGUCAUUUUCUUGUUGUGUUUUGAUGUUUUCCAUUGGCUGAAGAGCAGAUUACCAUGCAAUUUGUAGAAGUGUGAUAAAAUAUACAGAGGUGAAGUCAUGUGUCUUUCCAGAUGCCCAAAUCUGUACCACUCAAAAAGUAAUGAGGUGACAGUGUACCAUGACAAAAAAUCUAAGAUGAGCCUGAAGAGGAGAUUUGGGAAGAUGCUGUUUUAUAAGUCUUUGCUUUGCCAGAUCACCUGUGGUAAGUCGGGAUGUCUGCUAACAAGAUGCCUUGUUGGUCUGGGCGAGUUUGAAGUCUCUCACAGACAGUCCAAGAAAGUCUGGAGUCCAUCUUAGCUUUUAUUGAUGCUGUCAUCAGGUUUUAAGUACAGUAUGAGCCAGAAUGGAAGGGUGG
Molecule: non-coding RNA, 553 nt
Organism: Paramisgurnus dabryanus
Lineage: Eukaryota; Metazoa; Chordata; Actinopteri; Cypriniformes; Cobitidae
Source: RefSeq, a predicted model, not a curated record